Molecule: non-coding RNA, 232 nt
Filed under: Sporomusa sphaeroides
Lineage: Bacteria; Bacillati; Bacillota; Negativicutes; Selenomonadales; Sporomusaceae
Description: T-box sequence
Rfam family: T-box leader
About the family: Uncharged tRNA acts as the effector for transcription antitermination of genes in the T-box leader family. T-boxes are found upstream of many aminoacyl-tRNA synthetase genes and some amino acid biosynthetic genes usually in Gram-positive bacteria.
Source: RNAcentral
AUAAUAGUGAUGAUUGGGAGCAAGCUUAACAUCCUGCCCAGAGAGCCGGUGGCUGGUGUGAACCGGUGCAGUGGUCUAAGCAAUACUCGCCCAGGAACUCUGCUGUUGACCUGCGUAUGUAUGCAAUACGCACUAGACAGUGGCGGUACCGGCCGUUAUCCGGUAGCCAUGAAUAACGUCAUGGCUAAAUGAGCCCAAAGUAGGGUGGUACCGCGCGUUUAGCGCCCCUAUG